Molecule: RNA transcript, 4687 nt
Organism: Cebus imitator (Panamanian white-faced capuchin)
Lineage: Eukaryota; Metazoa; Chordata; Mammalia; Primates; Cebidae
Gene name: transcription initiation factor TFIID subunit 4B-like
Exons: 3
Source: RefSeq, a predicted model, not a curated record
AUGUCGUUCCCAGAAGGCCCAGGGCACUUAGAACAGUGCUGGCACAUAGAGAGUGCUCCUCUUCCUCGUCCAUCAACUGACCUGCUCUGUGUCCAUUUCUGCAACACUGGCACUCCUUCAGCACGGAUGAUGCACCGCCCUGCAGCACCAGUUGGCUGCUCUGAAGCCGUCACCCAUGUUGACCUAAUCGUGGGUGCUCACAUUGAAGCAGAGGUCACAACCCGCAGCGGGACCGAGCCUGAGGCGCCGGGAGGAGGCUGCGCACUUGUGAGCACCUCUGAGGAAGCUGCGAGAAGCCUGGCGGGUGUUGCUCCGGGGGCAGCCCAGGCUCGCGCGCAGGAGAAGUGCUGCGACCCCCGCGGCUCUCCCGGAACCGCACCGGAGUCGGCUGUGCACCCAGCCUUCCCUCACCGCAGCUCUCGGAACGGCAGCGCCAUAGCCGCCGCUGAGCCUCUAGGGGGCGCUGCUCUCCCGGCUGCUGUGAGCACCUCCGAGACCGUGACUAUGGCCCUGGCCGGGGGGCGGCCAGUGCGGGUAGAGAGCCCUCCGGUGGCCCUGGGUGCCAUGACUAAGGUUCCUGUCAGCGUCUGCAUGGAGCCCAUGGCGUCCCAGCCCCUGCGGUCCCCCGUGGGGACCCUGGUGACCAAAGUGGCUCCUGUCAGCGCCUCUCCUAAACUCAGCAGCUGCCCUAGGCUGCCUGCUCCUCAGAUGGUCGCUGUGAAAGCCCCCAACACCACGACAAUCCAGUUUCCUGCUAAUUUGCAGCUUCCUCCAGGAACCGUUUUGAUCAAAAGUAACAGUAGUCAGUUGAUGUUGGUAUAUCCUGAGCAAGCAAGAGCCGAGACCACAAGUAACAUAACUUCAAGGCCAGCAGUACCAGCCAGUCCUCAAACAGUCACAAUCUGUAUAGUGCCCUCUGUGGCUGUGCCUACCAGUGUUGUCACAGUAACUCCUGAAAAGCCACUGAUUACUGUAGCUACCCUGAAGUUUGGGAGCAUCAUCCACCCCCUCAAAUGAGCCCAAUUUUAAAGCAGAGAACUCAGCAGCUGUUCAGAUUAAUCUUUCUCUGACAAUGCUAGAAAACGUGAAGAAAUGCAAGAACUUCCUUGCAAUGUUCAUAAAACUAGCAUGUGGUGGAUCACAGUCCCCAGAAAUGCGGCAAAAUAUGAAGAAACUGGUGGAACAACUUUUGGAUGCAAAAAUCGAAGCAGAAUUUCCUAGGAAACUGUAUGUUGAACUCAAGUCUUCACCUCAGCCUCACCUGGUUCCUUUUCUUAAGAAGAGUGUGGUUGCUUAGACAACUUCUGCCUAGCUCCCAGAGCUUCAUCCAGCAAUGUGUUCAGCAGACUUCUAGUGAGGGAGUCACUGCUACCUGUACUACAACAGUAACAACUUCUCCUGUGGUGACAACAGUGUCCUCAAGCCAGUCUGAAAAGUCCAUUAUUGUUUUUGGAGCAACAGCACCCAGAACUGUGUCAGUGCAAACUCUGAACCCACUUGGUGGUCCAGGGAGAGCAAAAGCUUGAGUUGUGACACUUCAUUCUGUGGGCCCAGCUGCUGCAACAGGAGGAACAAUAGCUGGAACUGUUUUGCUUCAGACUUCAAAACCACUUGUGACAUCUGUACCAAACACAGUGACAACAGUCUCACUGCAACCUGAAAAGCCAGUUGUCUCUGGAACAGCGGUAACACUCCCUUUCAGCAGUAACUUUUGAGAAACUUCAGGUGCAGCCAUUUGUCUUCCAUCUGUGAAAACUGUUGUUACUUCUGCUGGGACCACAUCUGACCAGCCUGUUACUGGCACUCCAAUUCAAAUCAAACUUGCCCAGCUGGACCCUGUCCUUUCACAACAGCUGGGAUUCCACAGGAAGUUAAAGUCAAGCAACCAGUAGUUCAGCAGCCUUUAGGAGGCAAUGAAUAACAGGUGACCAAACUCACAUUCCUCUGCAUUGACCAUUCAGAAAUCUGGACAGAAGAUGAUGCCAGGGAACACAGUAAUACCUACCAGCCAGUUUCCUCCAGCGUCCACUCUAAAGCAAAUUACUCUGCCUGGAAACAAAAUUCUGUCACUUCAAGCAUCUCCUACUCAGAAAAAUGAAAUAAAAGAGAAUGGAACAACAUGAUUCAGAGAUGAGGAUGACAUCAGUGAUGUGACUUCUAUGACAGAGGUCAACCUUAACGAAGAAAAUGCCUGCAUCUUAGCAACAAACUCUGAAUUGGUUGGCACACUCAUUUCAGUCAUGUAAAGAUGAAUCAUUUCUUUUUAUUGUAGCUCUACAAAAGAGAAUUUUACACAUUGGUAAAAAGCAUGACAUUACAGAACUUAACUCUAAUGCUGUGAACUUAUCUACCAUGCAACACAGGAACCUUCUAGAAAAACUGACUGCAAUUGCUCAGCAUAGAAUGGCUACUUAACAAGGCAAGUGAAAAUUAUAUCUUGUGUAGUGAUACCAGGUUACAGCUCAGUUUCUGAAAAAGCUGGAUCAAUUGGAGAAGCAGAGAAAGGAUUUAGAACCAAGAGAAAUGUUGCAGCCAAGAGUCAUUCUAAUAAAGAAGACCCAGAACACCUGAGAUUAAAGCAGAAGGCCAGAUUACAGCAGUUGGAACUUGCACAGAUACAGCAUAGAGAUGCUUAUCUCACAGCUCUUGCAGCUACUGGACCAAGGAAGAAGAGACCACUAGAAUCUGGAAGUGAGGGUUUAAAAGACAACCUUCUUGCUUCUGAGACAUCCAGCCUGAGAGCCACCAAACAGUUGCUUCAUCCAAGAAUCACGAGAAACUGCCUCAGGGACUUGAUAUUUUGUAUGGCACAGGAACGGGAGAUGAAGUAUUCUCGAGCUGUAUACCUGGCCCUUCUGAAGUGACCACUCCACUCUCCAUCCAGAUCCUUGCUAUUUAUUGCCAAAGAAGACACAACGAGCAUUGUUGCACUGUCCUGAAAUUUCAAUUUCUGGAAAAUAAUCACCAAUACAAAAGCAUUGUUUACAGUUAGAAACUUUAUUAAGUCUUACCUAUCCGUUCCAUGGGGCUGUUACAGACUAGAAUUGUCUCUGUCUUUUGAAAAUCUGUUAUGAAACACACUGCACAGAAUUAGGCAUUUGCCUACCUGUGCAUAUAAUUACAGCAAGUUAAGGCCCUGUUUGUUACUACCUGCCUCGUUUGCCAAAUUGUAACAUGUGAGGUGUCCUUUCCUAAUAUAGUGUGCAUUGAGAUGCCAGAGAAAGGAAGAGGCACUACAAGAAAAUACAAAAAUGACGAUUUCAUUCUGUAUUGAACCUGUCCCAAAGUGUAGGUGCUCUGGGCUGGAAUCAGAAGUUGCUCAGCUAACUAUGACAGUCACUUUCUGUACAUGACAGGCCAGAGUAGGGUCUAUGGUAACUUUGUUUGGCUGAGUUCCAGUGUUGUCAAAAAUGAGACAAAUGGGGAUAGAUCAUGCCUGGGGUUGCUAAUUCUCUGUUUCAUAUCACCAUGUGCUGUUUCUGAUACCAAGUGAGUGGACAUCCUUGUCAGGGAAACAAGAAUUUGUCCUAAAAAUGGAAUCUACCGAUAUAUCUUAUAAAAAUGAAAAAGGUGGAAAGUAUUGGAAGGAAUGAUGGGGCGCUGCAUUCAAACUGAUGAAGGGAAUGUGAAAAUGGUAUCCUAAAACAGGGAAUGUGCUUCAUAAGCCCAAGAGGGGAAGGGGCAGAAUCAGAACUCCAAAACUACUGGUACAUGUUUCGUUGAUGAGAAAAAAAUCACAGUACAACCAGAAUGGAGAAUGUACCAGAUGUUUUCAAAUUAUAGUAUUUCAAAAGCAAGAUGUUAUUUUUUGUUUUGUAUUGUUUUAAAUCCCAAGAAGGAUGGUUUUUGCAGUUCCUACUGUCAUAAUAUAUUUUAGUUAUCCUAAGUUUUAAGCGCGUUGGCACAUUUAAAAAAUCCUAAUUGAUGAUGAAAAAAUUUUAACAAUAGGACUUUAUGUUGGAUUCUGUACUUAAAAGGUACUGUCAGUAUCUCACUCUUGGGGAUAUGAGCACUAAAUAUGAGAAGCAAGUUAUAUAUGUUCACCUGAGGAAGAAGCUGACAGGCAAAGCUAACCCACUUUAAAAAAAAAAAAAUUCCAUGUGUGGAAUACAGCUGGUGAAAACUAAUCACUGUAGUUAGAAUCAUAUACAGAAAAAGAUGAUUGAAUGCUACAAGAAGGUUUUUCAAAAAUGGGAAGUGCUAUACUUACAAGAAUUCAGGGGGAGAAAAAAAAAACACCCCACAUAUAUUAUUCUUCAUCCUGUUCUUUCCAUUGGGACUGUUACGGCCAUAUUCUAUGCUACAGUAAAUUUUAAAUUGGCCACAUUUUCUUUUCGUUUCAGCAAGUUAGUAAAACGCUAUAUAUUGUGUGUAUGUUAAAGGAGUACUUUAAGAAGAGAUCUUUGAGGAGUCCCUAGAAACCCACCUUAUCAAACAGCUUCCGAGAUCACAGCCAGGUAAAUCCACAAAGAUGGGAAAAAACCAGUGCAAAAAAGAUGAAACCAUCAAAGAACAGAGCACCUCUUCUCCUUCAAGAGAUUGCAGCUCCUCAACAACACGGGAACACAACACGACUGAGGAAGAGUGCGAUGAACUGACAGAAACAGGCUUCAGAAGGUGGAUAAUAACAAACUUUUCUGAGCUAAAAGAACACGUUCUAUCAAUGCAAAGAAACCAAAAACCUUGA